AACGAACGCUGGCGGCAUGCCUAACACAUGCAAGUCGAACGAGACCUUCGGGUCUAGUGGCGCACGGGUGCGUAACGCGUGGGAACCUGCCCUUAGGUUCGGAAUAACUCCCCGAAAGGGGUGCUAAUACCGGAUAAUGUCUUCGGACCAAAGAUUUAUCGCCUUUGGAUGGGCCCGCGUUGGAUUAGCUAGUUGGUAGGGUAAAAGCCUACCAAGGCGACGAUCCAUAGCUGGUCUGAGAGGAUGAUCAGCCACACUGGGACUGAGACACGGCCCAGACCCCUCGGGAGGGAGGAGGGGGGGAAUAUUGAAAAAGGGGGAAAAGCGGACCCAAGCAGUGCCGGGGGAGAAAGAAGGCCUUGGGGUUGGAAAAGCUUUUUUCCCGGGGAAGAAAAGGAGAGUCCGGGGAAAAAAAGCCCGGCCUAACCCGGUC
RNAcentral lists this ribosomal RNA (433 nucleotides) under uncultured bacterium. RNAcentral describes it as "partial 16S ribosomal RNA". It matches the Rfam family "Bacterial small subunit ribosomal RNA", at positions 29 to 507 of the family's 1533-position model. The record is from RNAcentral.